Molecule: ribosomal RNA, 484 nt
Filed under: uncultured bacterium
Lineage: Bacteria
Description: partial 16S ribosomal RNA
Rfam family: Bacterial small subunit ribosomal RNA
Source: RNAcentral
GACGAACGCUGGCGGCGUGCUUAACACAUGCAAGUCGAACGAUGAACCCGGAGCUUGCUCCGUUGGAUUAGUGGCGAACGGGAGAGUAACACGUGAGCAACCUGCCCUUUACUCUGGAAUAACUGCGGGAAACGGUAGCUAAUACCGAAUAUGAACAAUGAAGACAUCUUGAGUUGGUGGACAGCAUUUCGGCUCGGGAUGGACGCGCGGGCAAUCAGCUUGUUGGUGAGGUAUCGGCCCACCAGGGCAGCGACGGGUAGCCGGCCAGGGAGGGGGAACGGGCACACGGGGACUGAGAGACGGCCCAGACUCCUACGGGAGGCAGCAGGGGGGAAUAUGGCACAAUGGGCGCAAGCCUGAUGUAGCAACGCCGCGUGAGGGAUGACGGCCUUCGGGUUGUAAACCUCUUUUAGUAGGGAAGAAGCGAAAGUGACGGUACCUGCAGAAAAAGCACCGGCUAACUACGUGCCAGCAGCCGCCGUAA